GGAAAAGAAGCUGGUAUAAGCGAUGCCAGA
This 30-nucleotide non-coding RNA is filed under the name Mus musculus (house mouse). Lineage: Eukaryota; Metazoa; Chordata; Mammalia; Rodentia; Muridae. The record is from RNAcentral.